UCCGGUGGAAAUGACGGGAAGGACACACCCGUUCCCAUACCGAACACGGAAGUUAAGCUUCCCGGUGCCGAUGAUACCUGGAUGGUAACGCCCCGGAAAAGCAGGUCUCUGCCGGAU
Molecule: ribosomal RNA, 117 nt
Filed under: Clostridiales bacterium
Lineage: Bacteria; Bacillati; Bacillota; Clostridia; Eubacteriales
Source: RNAcentral